This 2321-nucleotide long non-coding RNA is filed under the name Homo sapiens (human). Its description in RNAcentral is "HSALNT0110167". The record is from RNAcentral. Lineage: Eukaryota; Metazoa; Chordata; Mammalia; Primates; Hominidae.
GCGAGACUCUGUGGGGGUAGGACCCUCUGAGCCACGUGCCGGAUAUAAUCUCGUGGUGCGCCGUUUUUUUAAGCCGUUCGGAAAAGCACAGUAUUCGGGUGGGAGUGACCCGAUUUUCCAGGUGCGUCUGUCACCCCUUUCUUUCACUCAGAAAGGGAACUCCCUGACCCCUUGCGCUUCCCAAGUGAGGCAAUGCCUCGCCCUGCUUCGGCUCGCGCACGGUGCGCGCACCCACUGACCUUCGCCCACUGUCUGCCACUCCCAAGUGAGAUGAACCCGGUACCUCAGAUGGAAAUGCAGAAAUCACCUGUCUUCUGCGUCGCUCACGCUGGGAGCUGUAGACUGGAGCUGUUCCUAUUCGGCCAUCUUGGCUCCUCUCAGAUGAUAAAAUUCAGGCCAAGAGAAGCAAAGACAGCAAAGACUGACAUAAAAAAGAAACAACAAAAACAACUCUUGUUAAUGAUGUAGAAUUAAUCUGAAUUCUCCAAAAACCUGCCUCUUUUGGAGGUGUACAUAGGAUCAGUAAGCAGUGUGAGCCCAUAUCUAGAAGUAUCCAAGCACCUGCAAAAGUACCUAGCAGUGGAAAGUACCUAGUAUAUCAUGUUACUGGCCAGCUUGGUUAUGUCUCCAAUUUGAGAAGUGACUUGGGACUAGAAAAAAGAGGUGAAAACACAUUGGCCAAAAGUAAACCUAUGAACAAUAAAUUUUAUUUUAUAUUAAAAUGCUUUAUCGAUACAUAAUUUUUGAACAUAGUUUUGAGUACAUGUAAUAUUUGGUUACAUGAAUAAACUGAGUAAUAAUCAAGUCAGGGCAUUUGGGGUGUCCAUUAUCUAAAGUAUUUAUCAUUUCUGUGUGUUGGGAACAUUUUCAGUCUUCUCUUCUGGCUACUUUGAAAGAUACAUUAUAUUGUUGUUAUCCAGAUUCACCUGCUAUUAGACUUUAGCACUUAUUUCUUCUUCUAAUUGUAUGUUUCUACCCACUAACCUCUCUUUUUCAACCCCUCAACCACAUACCCUUCCCACUUCGUAAGAUCAACUUUGCUAGCUCCAACAUGUGAGUGAGAAGAUGUAUUUUUCUUUCUGGGCUUGGAUUUUUUCAACUUAAGAUAAUGACCAUCAGUCCCAUCUACGUUAAUGGAAACGAUAUGAUUUCAUUCUUUUUUAUGGCCAACUUGUAUUCUGUUGUGUAUACGUACAAUGUUUUCUUUACCCAUUCAUCCAUUGAUAGAAACUUAGGUUGAUUCUCUGUCUUUAAUAUUGUAAAUAAUUCUUCAAUAAACAUGCAAGUGGAAGCAUCCCUUUUAUAUACUGAUUUCCUUUACUUUGGGUAAAUACCCAAUAAUAAUAUUGCUUUUAAUAUAUAGUAAUAGUAAUAUUACCUUUAAUUUUUUGAGAAAUCUCCAUACUAUUUCCUAUAGUGGCUAUACUUCUUGAAAUUGCCACCAACAGUAUAUAAGAGUUCCUUCUUUUCUGCAUUCUUGUGAGCAUCUGUUAUUUUUUAUCAUUUUACUAAUAGCCAUUCUAACUCAGGUAAGAAAAUUUCUCAAUAUGGCCUUGAUUUGUAUUGCCCUAAUUAUUAGUGAUGGCAAGCAUUUUUAAAAAAUAUACCCCUUGGCCCUUUGUAUGCCUUCUUUUGAAAAAAUGUCUAUUCAUAUUCUUUUUCCACUUUUAGUGGAAUUAUUUGCCUGUUUUUAUUGUUGGAUUAUUUCAGUUCCAUGUAUAUUCUGGAUAUUAUUCUAGAAUAUGAAGAAAAUAAGGAUUUAAGAAAGUAAAUUUAUUUUCAUUAUUUGUAUAUUUUGUACAUGUUGAAAAACUCUUGAAACUUAAACUUAACUUCCACUAUAAAUCUCAUGAUCUUAAUACCAAUACACUCUACUGAUCUUUCUUUUUUCUUUUUUGCCUUUUUUUAUUCUGAUACCCUACACGAAAACUCUGAUACAAAUGUAAUGAUCUCAGUGUGUCAUGCUUUGUUGCCUCCCAUUACUAUACUUAUAGUCAUGUCAAGUUUUUCUCUCUCCUUUUUUUCCUUUCCCAACACCAAUGUCCUACCUUCUAUUCCAGGUAUGUAAAAAUCCUUUCUGCAAUUCAAGGCCCAAAUCAAUACCACUCUCCUAUAAAGAUUUUUCACUGUUUAAAUGAUUUCUAUACAUUUAUAAGAAUGAUUGUAUUUUAUUUAGGCUGUUGAUUUAUUUUUAUCACUUUUUUUUUUAUAUUUUUAGGAGGUAUGUUUUUAUUCAUCUCUCUCCACAUUGGACCAUAAGUUGCUAAGAGCAAGAACUGUUGGUAAUUCCUUGCCUUGUAUAUGUCAGUAAUGAAUGAAUA